RNAcentral lists this ribosomal RNA (322 nucleotides) under uncultured eukaryote. RNAcentral describes it as "partial 18S ribosomal RNA". It matches the Rfam family "Eukaryotic small subunit ribosomal RNA", at positions 1470 to 1796 of the family's 1831-position model. The record is from RNAcentral.
CCCUUAGAUGUUCUGGGCCGCACGCGUGCUACACUGAGUGGAUCAGCGGGUCAGGUUGCGCGAAAGUGUUUCCUAAUCUUUAAAUCCGCUCGUGAUGGGGAUUGACGGUUGCAAUUUUCCGUCAUGAACGAGGAAUACCUUGUAAGCGCGGGUCAACAUCCCGCGCUGAAUACGUCCCUGCCCUUUGUACACACCGCCCGUCGCUCCUACCGAUUGAGUGGUCCGGUGAGGCUUUGGGAUCUGAGCGGAAAGAGCGUUUCGCUGUUUCUGCCCGGAAAACUCAGUCGAACCUUAUCAUUUAGAGGAAGGAGAAGUCGUAACA